This 495-nucleotide unclassified non-coding RNA is filed under the name Melitaea cinxia (Glanville fritillary). RNAcentral's name for it is "misc RNA ENSMCXG00005000339.1". Lineage: Eukaryota; Metazoa; Arthropoda; Insecta; Lepidoptera; Nymphalidae. The record is from RNAcentral.
CUUUUCUAUUUUUUUACAUGUUUGCAACAAAUUUUCCAGUUUUAAAAGUGCUAUUAAAUGCUUCUUCUGCUAAUUGUUUUACGUCACGAUACCCAACAUUACUUGCAGCUACCUUUUUUUUCCAGAAGUGCCCAAAUUGGCUCUAUUGGGUUAAGAUCACAGUGGUAUGGUGGAAGCCGAACUACUGUAUGCCCAUGUUCUCCCAAAAUAGUAUCUUUCUCAUAUAUAGGAUUAGGUUUAUUAUUUUUUACUAAAGUUAAUAAAUUAGGUUUCCUUAGUGAUGAAUGAAAUGGAAUAUUAUUUUCUAAUAACCAUAAUUUUAUAUCAUCGACACAAGUACUGGUGUUUGGUGAUUUGUUUAUAAUUACUGAAUGGUAAGGAGCAUUAUCAAAAACUAUAAUAGAAGCCUCGUGUAGAUUGGGAAUAAGUUUUUCCGUAAUCCAUUUAGUGAAAUUAUUUGCAUUCAUUUCUGAGUGAUAAUCUUCCAUUUUAUUA